Molecule: ribosomal RNA, 143 nt
Filed under: uncultured bacterium
Lineage: Bacteria
Description: partial 16S ribosomal RNA
Rfam family: Bacterial small subunit ribosomal RNA
Source: RNAcentral
GUGGGGAAUAUUGGACAAUGGGCGAAAGCCUGAUCCAGCAAUGCCGCGUGUGUGAAGAAGGUCUUCGGAUUGUAAAGCACUUUCGACGGGGACGAUGAUGACGGUACCCGUAGAAGAAGCCCCGGCUAACUUCGUGCCAGCAG